RNAcentral lists this ribosomal RNA (419 nucleotides) under uncultured bacterium. Its description in RNAcentral is "bacterial SSU rRNA". It matches the Rfam family "Bacterial small subunit ribosomal RNA", at positions 917 to 1333 of the family's 1533-position model. The record is from RNAcentral.
GGGCCCGCACAAGCGGUGGAGCAUGUGGCUUAAUUCGAGGCAACGCGAAGAACCUUACCUGGUCUUGACAUGCCCGUCAUAGUUUUCCGAAAGGAAUUCGUCAGUUCGGCUGGACGGUGCACAGGUGCUGCAUGGCUGUCGUCAGCUCGUGUCGUGAGAUGUUCGGUUAAGUCCGGCAACGAGCGCAACCCUCGUUUCCAGUUGCCAGCGGGUAAUGCCGGGGACUCUGGAAAGACAAACCUCUUGUUGAGGUGGGAAGGUGGGGACGACGUCAAGUCAGUAUGGCCCUUACGACCAGGGCUGCACACGUGCUACAAUGCCCGGCACAAUGGGAUGCAAUAUCGCGAGAUUGAGCAAAUCCACAAAACCGGGCCCAGUUCGGAUUGGAGUCUGCAACUCGACUCCAUGAAGUUGGAAUC